RNAcentral lists this ribosomal RNA (253 nucleotides) under uncultured bacterium. RNAcentral describes it as "partial 16S ribosomal RNA". It matches the Rfam family "Bacterial small subunit ribosomal RNA", at positions 524 to 776 of the family's 1533-position model. The record is from RNAcentral.
UACGAAGGGGGCUAGCGUUGUUCGGAGUUACUGGGCGUAAAGCGCGUGUAGGCGGGUCGUUAAGUUGGGGGUGAAAUCCCGAGGCUCAACCACGGAACUGCCUUCAAAACUGGCGACCUGGAGCAAGAUAGAGGCAAGUGGAAUUGCGAGUGUAGAGGUGAAAUUCGUAGAUAUUCGCAGGAACACCAGUGGCGAAGGCGACUUGCUGGAUCUUUGCUGACGCUGAGAAGCGAAAGCGUGGGGAGCAAACAGG